This 433-nucleotide ribosomal RNA is filed under the name uncultured bacterium. RNAcentral describes it as "bacterial SSU rRNA". It matches the Rfam family "Bacterial small subunit ribosomal RNA", at positions 29 to 506 of the family's 1533-position model. The record is from RNAcentral.
AGCGAACGCUGGCGGCAGGCUUAGCACAUGCAAGUCGAACGGGCGUAGCAAUACGUCAGUGGCAGACGGGUGAGUAACGCGUGGGAACGUACCUUUUGGUUCGGAACAACACAGGGAAACUUGUGCUAAUACCGGAUAAGCCCUUACGGGGAAAGAUUUAUCGCCGAAAGAUCGGCCCGCGUCUGAUUAGCUAGUUGGUGAGGUAAUGGCUCACCAAGGCGACGAUCAGUAGCUGGUCUGAGAGGAUGAUCAGCCACAUUGGGACUGAGACACGGCCCAAAACUCCUACGGGAGGCAGCAGUGGGGAAUAUUGGACAAUGGGCGAAAGCCUGAUCCAGCCAUGCCGCGUGAGUGAUGAAGGCCCUAGGGUUGUAGAGCUCUUUUGUGCGGGAAGAUAAUGACGGUACCGCAAGAUAAGCCCGGCUAACUUCGU